UUCUCCCCGAAAGCUAUUUAGGUAGCGCCUCGUGAAUUCAUCUCCGGGGGUAGAGCACUGUUUCGGCUAGGGGGCCAUCCCGGCUUACCAACCCGAUGCAAACUGCGAAUACCGGAGAAUGUUAUCACGGGAGACACACGGCGGGUGCUAACGUCCGUCGUGAAGAGGGAAACAACCCAGACCGCCAGCUAAGGUCCCAAAGUCAUGGUUAAGUGGGAAACGAUGUGGGAAGGCCCAGACAGCCAGGAUGUUGGCUUAGAAGCAGCCAUCAUUUAAAGAAAGCGUAAUAGCUCACUGGUCGAGUCGGCCUGCGCGGAAGAUGUAACGGGGCUAAACCAU
This 339-nucleotide ribosomal RNA is filed under the name Salmonella enterica subsp. enterica serovar Thompson. RNAcentral's name for it is "partial 23S ribosomal RNA". It matches the Rfam family "Bacterial large subunit ribosomal RNA", at positions 853 to 1190 of the family's 2925-position model. The record is from RNAcentral. RNAcentral also lists the same sequence under 4 other names. Lineage: Bacteria; Pseudomonadati; Pseudomonadota; Gammaproteobacteria; Enterobacterales; Enterobacteriaceae.